UACGGGGGGGGCAAGCGUUGUUCGGAAUUACUGGGCGUAAGGGGCUCGUAGGCGGCCAACUAAGUCAGACGUGAAAUCCCUCGGCUUAGCCGGGGAACUGCGUCUGAUACUGGAUGGCUUGAGAUUGGGAGAGGGAUGCGGAAUUCCAGGUGUAGCGGUGAAAUGCGUAGAUAUCUGGAGGAACACCGGUGGCGAAGGCGACAUCCUGGACCAACACUGACGCUGAGGAGCGAAAGCCAGGGGAGCAAAUGGG
RNAcentral lists this ribosomal RNA (253 nucleotides) under uncultured bacterium. RNAcentral describes it as "partial 16S ribosomal RNA". It matches the Rfam family "Bacterial small subunit ribosomal RNA", at positions 524 to 776 of the family's 1533-position model. The record is from RNAcentral.